UGUGCGAAUUGAUUAAAGUGCUUUUGCACGAAUAUUACCCGAAAUAAUUCAACUUUUUGAAUUAUCGAAGUUUCGAAAUAUUCGUUUUAACAAAAGCUCGAAUUGUGCGAUUCAAGAAAAAUCGACUUUUCUACGUACGGAAUUUGGGAAAAACUUCCUUCAUAAAAGUUGUAGAGCUCGUCGAUAUGAUCGCGUGCAUAUGUCGAACGAAAUUUUUGGAGUUCGUACGAUUAUGUUACGAAUUUUGGAAAUAUGAGAUUCUUUUUAUAAUCUCUUUUCCUCGGAUUCUCUUUUAGAAAUUUCUUUUUCUUCCUUUUCCUUUUCCUUUUCCUUUCCUCCGGGUCUCCUUCCUUCUUUUUCUUUUUCUCUUUUUUUUUCUUCUUUCUCUCUCUCGCUCGACCGAAACCGAAAACAGAGCAAAGGCUCUUCGGUCUCUCUCUACCUCCACCGGCCACCAAACGGCGUCGAACCACUUCCUUUUGCUUCGUCUCAGCCUUGCACAGCUGCUAGAGGCAGCCUUGCACCGUGACACGGCCACCAGCGGCGGCAGGAAGCUCCGCCCGGUUUGAGCUCGUUUUGGAAACAAGCUUGAUAUCUCAAGCUACCGGUCACCAAUCCUCACCAAAAUCCAUCCACAAGCUCGCCUCAACUUCCUGAAACUCCCAGAAGCAGCCUCACACGGCGGCGUGGCCCGUAGCAGUGGCUGCAAGUCAAACCCAACCAAGAACGAGACCGGAGCUAUCGAUCAAGAUAUCUCGAGCUGUAGUGCAUCGUUUUGAUUGAUUCUUUUUCCAGUGGGUUCCCCUUGAUGUUAUUAACAACUCUCUAGAAGGAAUCGAGGCCUGAAAUUGAAGAUUUGACGUCGAAAUCGAGCCUUGCCGGAUUCUGCAAAAUUCUGGAAUUUUUCCGACCACCGAAGCUUUCGAUCGGUAUAUCUCGAGCUACAGACCAUAUUUUUCUGUGAUUCUUGAACCAGUGAGUUCUUCUUGAGUUUCUUAACAACUCUUCAGAAGGAAUCGAAGCCUUAAAUUGACGUUUUUACGUCGAAUUGGAGCUCGCCGUUUUCUGCAGUUUCUCGCCGGUUUCUGGAAAAUUCCGGCCACCUUCAUACUGUUCAAGGUGAUCGACGGUUUGAUUUGGCGGACGAUUCGUGAAAUUGUAUUUUGAGCUGUUAAGAAGACGCAGCGGGAAUUUAGAGCGGGUAAUCCUACAGGACAGGAGAACCAGGACGGUGAUCGUGCGGUUAGAGCAAUGGUUAUAGUUUUACAGCAAUUGUAAUAGUGAGGCGAGUUAAGCUCAUUUGAGCAUUACAAUUUGAUUUGGUGGGAGUGUGCUGUAAUAAAUAACUUGAGGAUUUGGGUUAUUGUAAAUUUGAGAGUUGUGAAGUGUGGUUGUUUGUGAGAAAAAAAUUCAGGAUGUUAGUUGUAAUUUGUUAUUAUUCAUGUUUCGGAUUUGAAUUGAUUAUUCAAAAUUCGGGGCGUGACAGU
Molecule: long non-coding RNA, 1487 nt
Organism: Rosa rugosa (rugosa rose)
Lineage: Eukaryota; Viridiplantae; Streptophyta; Magnoliopsida; Rosales; Rosaceae
Exons: 3
Source: RefSeq, a predicted model, not a curated record